RNAcentral lists this ribosomal RNA (433 nucleotides) under uncultured bacterium. RNAcentral's name for it is "bacterial SSU rRNA". It matches the Rfam family "Bacterial small subunit ribosomal RNA", at positions 29 to 507 of the family's 1533-position model. The record is from RNAcentral.
AACGAACGCUGGCGGCAUGCCUAACACAUGCAAGUCGAACGAAGGCUUCGGCCUUAGUGGCGCACGGGUGCGUAACGCGUGGGAAUCUGCCCUUGGGUUCGGAAUAACUCAGAGAAAUUUGAGCUAAUACCGGAUGAUGACGUAAGUCCAAAGAUUUAUCGCCCAAGGAUGAGCCCGCGUAAGAUUAGCUAGUUGGUGGGGUAAAGGCCUACCAAGGCGACGAUCUUUAGCUGGUCUGAGAGGAUGAUCAGCCACACUGGGACUGAGACACGGCCCAGACUCCUACGGGAGGCAGCAGUGGGGAAUAUUGGACAAUGGGCGAGAGCCUGAUCCAGCAAUGCCGCGUGAGUGAUGAAGGCCUUAGGGUUGUAAAGCUCUUUUACCAGGGAUGAUAAUGACAGUACCUGGAGAAUAAGCUCCGGCUAACUCCGUG